CCUACGGGUGGCAGCAGUGAGGAAUAUUGGUCAAUGGACGAGAGUCUGAACCAGCCAAGUAGCGUGAAGGAUGACUGCCCUACGGGUUGUAAACUUCUUUUAUAUGGGAAUAAAACGUUCCACGUGUGGGAUUUUGUAUGUACCAUAUGAAUAAGGAUCGGCUAACUCCGUGCCAGCAGCCGCGGUAAUACGGAGGAUCCGAGCGUUAUCCGGAUUUAUUGGGUUUAAAGGGAGCGUAGGUGGAUUGUUAAGUCAGUUGUGAAAGUUUGCGGCUCAACCGUAAAAUUGCAGUUGAAACUGGCAGUCUUGAGUACAGUAGAAGUGGGCGGAAUGCGUGGUGUAGCGGUGAAAUGCUUAGAUAUCACGCAGAACUCCGAUUGCGAAGGCAGCUCGCUGGACUGCAACUGACACUGAGGCUCGAAAGUGUGGGUAUCGAACAGGAUUAGAUACCCGAGUAGUC
RNAcentral lists this ribosomal RNA (460 nucleotides) under uncultured bacterium. RNAcentral's name for it is "partial 16S ribosomal RNA". It matches the Rfam family "Bacterial small subunit ribosomal RNA", at positions 338 to 795 of the family's 1533-position model. The record is from RNAcentral.